UGGAAGUGAUCUCUCCACACCCUCUUGGUC
This 30-nucleotide non-coding RNA is filed under the name Mus musculus (house mouse). Lineage: Eukaryota; Metazoa; Chordata; Mammalia; Rodentia; Muridae. The record is from RNAcentral.